This 87-nucleotide transfer RNA is filed under the name Bdellovibrionales bacterium. RNAcentral describes it as "tRNA-Leu". It matches the Rfam family "tRNA". Rfam says of the family: Transfer RNA (tRNA) molecules are approximately 80 nucleotides in length. Their secondary structure includes four short double-helical elements and three loops (D, anti-codon, and T loops). Further hydrogen bonds mediate the characteristic L-shaped molecular structure. tRNAs have two regions of fundamental functional importance: the anti-codon, which is responsible for specific mRNA codon recognition, and the 3' end, to which the tRNAs corresponding amino acid is attached (by aminoacyl-tRNA synthetases). tRNAs cope with the degeneracy of the genetic code in two manners: having more than one tRNA (with a specific anti-codon) for a particular amino acid; and 'wobble' base-pairing, i.e. permitting non-standard base-pairing at the 3rd anti-codon position. Lineage: Bacteria; Pseudomonadati; Bdellovibrionota; Bdellovibrionia; Bdellovibrionales. The record is from RNAcentral.
GCCCGGGUGGCGAAAUUGGUAGACGCACCGCCUUGAGGUGGCGACGUUCGAAAGGACAUGCUGGUUCAAGUCCAGUCCCGGGCACCA